UUCUCGGUUACCCAGCACAGUGAGGGAGCUGAAGAGACUCUGACAGAAAUGCCAGGCCUGGGAGAAGCUGCAGGAUGUGUUCACGAGCUGAUAAGCUGUGUCUGAGUCCAGUCCUCAUUCCAGAAUCAUAUCCAUCCAGGACCAUAUCCGUUACAUCCAACCUGCCCUGCUACUGUCCACCGUGUCCAGCACUCUAGUGUGUGUGGAGGGAAAAGAUCUGCAUGAGAGAACUGUACUGGGCACCGAACUGAUCCCUUAUAAACACUGCAGUCAGGAGCUCAGCGUUUUGCUCAGGACUGUAUGAGCGCAUGGGUUGACUCAGAAGGCAUUCAGUGGCAGAUCUGUCUCAUUACAAACAACCCAAAUCAAACACCCGCCGCAACACUGGCUCCAACACACCGGGAGUGAUGGACAGUGGGCUUUGAUGCCAGCAGGAGUGUGUGUGAGGUCGAGGAGGGAGCACGGACUGAGUGAGAGAUAAAGAGGCAGAUUGUAAAGGCAGAAGACUGAAAUGAAGAGAAUGAAAGGAUGAGAGAGAAGAGAGGUGAGGAGAGAUUGACGGAGGGGUCAGUCGUCCUCAUAGCAGGGGUCAGUCACAGGUGAGUGUUGAGGUUCGGCUGUGUCCCAAUUCCACUGAUUGGCUGCUUCUUCGCAAGAGGCACAACUGGACAACAGUGCAGCAUAGCAAGGCAAAGUUCUGACCUACUGACCUCUUGUUCUUUGUUUUUUCUCUCUCUGGUACCAAUCUUAUUCAAAAACACACAUUUAAACACCUUCUAAAGUUCAUUUUUAUCUAUAGACAGUGGACCACCCACUUUUGGGGCUUUGUCUCUAUUUUAGUGGGGUCAGAAAAGAGUAGCCAGUUGUUCUUAAUGCCAGUUGUAUUUUACGAUGUGGUUUAAGCUGUUAGACCACCAAUCGACCUUUCGCUUACAGCUUGCUCUGGGCUCCAGAAACAGACAGCUAGCAACUAAAAGCUAUAAUCGGCAAGUUAACCCUGUUAGGAACACAAGAAACUAUUGUACUGUAAAUCAAAUCAAUCAGGUCUAAACACUUCUUACAACUUUGAGUUGAAUAGGCGGGGCUGACCUUCUAUAAGCUAAAUAGGAACAUACUAUAUUUGUUUUAAUUGUGUGACAUUGCAAAAAAAGAUUAGUUUGAAACACAUCUUUACACAAAUUUAGUAUAUGUAUAUUAUUAUAUAUAGUAUUAAUAAUGCCAUCUCACAUGCAUUAUUGUAAUGUUUGCCUUUCAGGUAAGAAUGAAAUGUUGUGUUUUGCAUGACAUGGGCCCAUAAAAUGACAGUGAUGAUAUGGGCCCUUUAAAGGACUCAUACACUGAAAUGACAGAUCAGAGCUAUCAAUAUGUGGAUGACCAGUCAGCCCCACAUGAUCCACUGCAGCCUGUAGAGUGAGUCAUCAUUAUUAGUAAUAGCUGGAUCUGUAGGAUGACUGCAGCGCAUUGGGUUAUGUUUUACAGCCAUCUUGUUUUAGAGUCUGGACACAGCUGGUGGAAAUGAAUGGUUCAACACGUCCGCGGGCUGUCGUCACAUGUCAGCACGUCAACAUCGAAGCUCUGCACCCAAACAAGAAUCUUCGUCCACUUGUCAUCUCUGCUCCUUUUUUUUUUCUAUUUAAAUGUAUACCCGACAGGUGUAUUCUGGGCAGUGGGGCGAGCAGGGCCUCGCCAGCUAGGCUGCUGUUGCUAGGUGCUUGUAUACAACUCAGCAUUGGGUUAUUUCCAUCACGGAGUUAGCACCUAGCAAAGCUGGCUGAGACACAAAUAAAUAAGAUCGGGUUGCCAGGUCUUAGAUCUUGCCGCCACUUUGUAAAAUAAAGGAGAGUGGGAAAGGAGAAAGAGAGGCUGGUGGGUUUACUGUGAGCAUGUAAGGAUGUACAGAAUCCUCCAAUUUCUAAGCCAAAAACAGUAACUGGUAUACUAUACAUUUUAUUAUGGCCCAGGUCAGGGCAUUAUGGGGUGGAAGGGGCCCACACUAAGUUGACCUUA
This is a long non-coding RNA of Astyanax mexicanus (Mexican tetra), 2007 nucleotides long. RefSeq lists it as uncharacterized. The transcript is spliced from 6 exons. NCBI's taxonomy places the organism in Eukaryota, Metazoa, Chordata, Actinopteri, Characiformes, Acestrorhamphidae. The record is from RefSeq and is a predicted model, not a curated record.